RNAcentral lists this ribosomal RNA (603 nucleotides) under Triticum aestivum (bread wheat). Its description in RNAcentral is "partial small subunit ribosomal RNA". The record is from RNAcentral. Lineage: Eukaryota; Viridiplantae; Streptophyta; Magnoliopsida; Poales; Poaceae.
AUGUGCACUUUCAAUGAUAUAAUCCGUCAACAAAACCUAAUUGAAUUGCCGCUAAAAGGUCGUGUGUACACGUGGAGCAAUAUGCAGCAGGAUCCAUUGUUGGAACAACUCGACUGGUUCUUCUCCUCUAUACACUGGACAUUUGCUUACCCCAACACAAUUGUUAAACAGCUCUGCAAGCCUGUCUCUGACCACACUCCAUGUGUCGUAAGCAUUGAGACAAAAAUCCCUCGGACCAAGCUUUUCCGAUUUGAAGCCUAUUGGUUACUUCACCCUGGUUUUAUGGAUGUGGUUAGAAAUUCUUGGACUCGUCCUGUCAACUCCUCUAAUGCCGCCAUGGCGCUCUGCCGCAAAUUCAAGCUACUUCGUCAAGCGCUCAAAGUUUGGAGAAAAAAUAUCUCCAGGUUAUCUGUGGCUAUCGAGAACACAAACAAUACUCUCUCCGAGUUGGAUGGUCUGGAAAAUUUGAGACCUCUAACCAACCCCGAAUGCAACUUCCGCAAGAUCAUCAAAUCUCACUGUAACAUCCCAAAUUUUCAAUUUGGAAUGUUAUACAUUAGAUCAUCAUGCAUUACAUAUUUUUCUUGCAUUUGUCGAUCCUAG